AUUGAACGCUGGCGGCAUGCUUUACACAUGCAAGUCGGACGAGUGGCGAACGGGUGAGUAAUAUAUCGGAACGUACCGAGUAAUGGGGGAUAACUAAUCGAAAGAAUAGCUAAUACCGCAUAGUAUUCGAGCGGCCGAUAUCUGAUUAGCUAGUUGGUGGGGUAAAGGCCUACCAAGGCGACGAUCAGUAGCGGGUCUGAGAGGAGGAGCAGACACACGGGGACUGAGACACGGCCCAGACUCCUACGGGAGGCAGCAGUGGGGAAUUUUGGACAAUGGGCGCAAGCCUGAUCCAGCCAUGCCGCGUGUGUGAAGAAGGCCUUCGGGUUGUAAAGGACUUUUGUCAGGGAAGCGGUACCUGAAGAAUAAGCACCGGCUAACUACGUGCCAGCCGCCGCGGUAAUUC
RNAcentral lists this ribosomal RNA (406 nucleotides) under uncultured bacterium. RNAcentral describes it as "partial 16S ribosomal RNA". It matches the Rfam family "Bacterial small subunit ribosomal RNA", at positions 30 to 526 of the family's 1533-position model. The record is from RNAcentral.